Molecule: long non-coding RNA, 468 nt
Organism: Mus musculus (house mouse)
Lineage: Eukaryota; Metazoa; Chordata; Mammalia; Rodentia; Muridae
Product: predicted gene, 29887
Exons: 3
Source: RefSeq, a predicted model, not a curated record
AGGUAGACCAGAUCUCCCCACAUCAUACCUCCCAUAUACUGCCCCAUUCUCUAGUGCCUGGAUGCAGUACAUUAUGACUUAACAUAAUUAAGAUAAGAUAACAUGCUCUCAGCAAGUUGAGGAUCGCCAGAAUUUUUUGAACAGAAGUGUGGCUUUGCUGACAUUCCUAAAGAGAAGGACCCUCCUCAGCACUUGUUAAAAAGAAUGGCCAUCAGGAAAGCUUACCAGACUAAUAAGCCAUCUCAUGACAUCAACUGAAUUUCCUUCCUUCCUCAAAAUCCAGGUUGCUGUUUUCCCUCCACAAUACUGGGAAAGCCUUUAAGAUGUCUGCAGGCUUGGAACCACAGUUAGAUGAUACAUUCUCUGUUUUAACCAGUAAGGAGACUCUUAAAUCCCAAGUUGAUACUUGAAUGGAUGGUGUUGAGAACUAAAAGCAGAGUAUCAGAGCCUUGAUGGAGAAGACCAUCA